AGAGUUUGAUUAUGGCUCAGGAUGAACGCUAGCGGCAGGCUUAACACAUGCAAGUCGAGGGGCAGCAUAAAGUAGCAAUACUUGGUGGCGACCGGCGCACGGGUGAGUAACGCGUAUGCAACCUACCUAGUCAGACGGGGAAUAACCCGGCGAAAGUCGGACUAAUACCGCAUAAAACAGGGGCACCGCAUGGUGAUAUUUGUUAAAGAAAUUCGCUGAUAGAUGGGCAUGCGUUCCAUUAGGGUAGUUGGUGAGGUAACGGCUCACCAAGCCGACGAUGGAUAGGGGAACUGAGAGGUUGGUCCCCCACACUGGUACUGAGACGCGGACCAGACUCCUACGGGAGGCAGCAGUGAGGAAUAUUGGUCAAUGGGCGGGAGCCUGAACCAGCCAAGUCGCGUGAAGGAAGAAGGAUCUAUGGUUCGUAAACUUCUUUUGCAGGGGAAUAAAGUGCAGGACGUGUCCUGUUUUGUAUGUACCCUGAGAAUAAGGAUCGGCUAACUCCGUGCCAGCAGCGGC
RNAcentral lists this ribosomal RNA (519 nucleotides) under uncultured bacterium. RNAcentral describes it as "bacterial SSU rRNA". It matches the Rfam family "Bacterial small subunit ribosomal RNA", at positions 8 to 518 of the family's 1533-position model. The record is from RNAcentral.